GAUGAACGCUGGCGGCGUGCUUAACACAUGCAAGUCGAGCGAAGCACUUACCAUUGACUCUUCGGAAGAUUUGGUAAAUGACUGAGCGGCGGACGGGUGAGUAACGCGUGGGCAACCUGCCUCAUACAGGGGAAUAACAGUUAGAAAUGGCUGCUAAUGCCGCAUAAGCGCACAGUACCGCAUGGUACGGUGUGAAAAACCGAGGUGGUAUGAGAUGGACCCGCGUCUGAUUAGGUAGUUGGUGGGGUAAUGGCCUACCAAGCCGACGAUCAGUAGCCGGCCUGAGAGGGUGAACGGCCACAUUGGGACUGAGACACGGCCCAGACUCCUACGGGAGGCAGCAGUGGGGAAUAUUGCACAAUGGGGGAAACCCUGAUGCAGCGACGCCGCGUGAAGGAAGAAGUAUCUCGG
Molecule: ribosomal RNA, 411 nt
Filed under: uncultured bacterium
Lineage: Bacteria
Description: bacterial SSU rRNA
Rfam family: Bacterial small subunit ribosomal RNA
Source: RNAcentral